UCAAUUCCAUAGCGUUUCAGUGCCUCCAGAGGCUCCCUGCCACCAACAAUAAGUUCACUUACAGCUGCGAUGCCCACAACUUCAAUUACCUCGUGGACAAUGGCUCAUUUAUCUCUUUCUCUGGUCAUCUCUCGUUCUCGGUCCCUUAGCCAUGGGACGUGGUAGAAAGCGGCAGCUACCGGAGUUAAUCGACGGAACUGCCAAAAAGGGAGGCACUGCCAGAAACCGACGGCAAUUCCCCGGAGUGUU
This 249-nucleotide unclassified non-coding RNA is filed under the name Hevea brasiliensis (rubber tree). The record is from RNAcentral. Lineage: Eukaryota; Viridiplantae; Streptophyta; Magnoliopsida; Malpighiales; Euphorbiaceae.